GUGGGGAAUCUUGCGCAAUGGGCGAAAGCCUGACGCAGCAACGCCGCGUGUGUGAUGAAGGUCUUCGGAUCGUAAAGCACUGUCGCGAGGGAAGAUACGCCUGAAGCUAACAUCUUCAGGCUAAGACGGUACCUCGAGAGGAAGCACCGGCUAACUCUGUGCCAGCAGCCGCGGUAAUACAGAGGGUGCUAGCGUUGUUCGGAAUUAUUGGGCGUAAAGCGCUUGUAGGCGGCCUGUCAAGUCGCGUGUGAAAUCCCCUGGCUUAACCAGGGAAGUGCGCGCGAAACUGGCGGGCUUGAGUGCCGGAGAGGGUCGCGGAAUUCCCGGUGUAGAGGUGAAAUUCGUAGAUAUCGGGAGGAACACCAGUGGCGAAGGCGGCGACCUGGACGGACACUGACGCUGAGACGCGAAAGCGUGGGGAGCAAACAGGAUUAGAUACCCCAGUAGUCC
Molecule: ribosomal RNA, 450 nt
Filed under: uncultured bacterium
Lineage: Bacteria
Description: bacterial SSU rRNA
Rfam family: Bacterial small subunit ribosomal RNA
Source: RNAcentral